RNAcentral lists this small nucleolar RNA (246 nucleotides) under Sphenodon punctatus (tuatara). Its description in RNAcentral is "Small nucleolar RNA SNORD17 (ENSSPUG00000018919.1)". It matches the Rfam family "Small nucleolar RNA SNORD17". Rfam says of the family: The snoRNA HBI-43 belongs to the C/D family of snoRNAs, guiding 2'O-ribose methylation at position U3797 of the 28S rRNA. Pseudouridylation in position U3797 is predicted to be guided by the H/ACA snoRNA ACA48. Lineage: Eukaryota; Metazoa; Chordata; Lepidosauria; Sphenodontia; Sphenodontidae. The record is from Rfam by way of RNAcentral.
GUGAAGUGAUGAUGAUGUUUAUCCAUUCUCUGAGUGCAGCUGCCCUGCCCUCCCUGCAGCACCCAGAUUCCUGUUCUAGGGUCUCCGUGCUGUGCAGCCUCCAGAUGUCUUCAACCUUUCAGUGUUCUACUGUGGGUUGCCAGUGUGUCUGGCUGGCUGCCUGCAGGUGUGGAGCAGGGCCAGCAAAGCUAGAGCUCCUCUCUGGGGGCUCUGUCUGAACUAAGACGAAUGAUGCUGUCUGAUCAC